GACGAACGCUGGUGGCGUGCUUAACACAUGCAAGUCGAACGGUGAAGCUCCAGCUUGCUGGAGUGGAUCAGUGGCGAACGGGUGAGUAACACGUGAGCAACCUGCCCCUGACUCUGGAAUAAGCGCUGGAAACGGCGUCUAAUACUGGAUACGAGAAGGGUCCGCAUGGGCACUUUCUGGAAAGUUUUUCGGUUGGGGAUGGGCUCGCGGCCUAUCAGCUUGUUGGUGAGGUAAUGGCUCACCAAGGCGACGACGGGUAGCCGGCCUGAGAGGGCGACCGGCCACACUGGGACUGAGACACGGCCCAGACUCCUACGGGAGGCAGCAGUGGGGAAUAUUGCACAAUGGGCGAAAGCCUGAUGCAGCGACGCCGCGUGAGGGAUGACGGCCUUCGGGUUGUAAACCUCUUUUAGCAGGGAAGAAGCGAAAGUGACGGUACCUGCAGAAGAAGCACCGGCUAACUACGUG
Molecule: ribosomal RNA, 468 nt
Filed under: uncultured bacterium
Lineage: Bacteria
Description: partial 16S ribosomal RNA
Rfam family: Bacterial small subunit ribosomal RNA
Source: RNAcentral